UCAAGGUAGUAUAUUUGAAAGCAACAAGCCAGUGGAGUUCAGAAAAUUAUACAUCUCAUCCUGAAGCAGAGUGAUCUCAAGAUGGAUUUGCACUCUAAGUUCCAGUGUUGAAGCAGUCUCUUCAGUGGAGUUGAGGUAACUGACCAGCCCAGCACAGCUGCCUAAAGGGAGUGAAAUAUCUCCAAGUAACUCUGAGGAAACACAGAAUGAAGACAACAACCAGAAAUAAGAUAACAUGUUCCUCUGGCCACCCUGUCAGGAAGGUGAAGUCAAUGAGGAAUUCUCCAGUCAGCUGGAAGGAGCUUCACAGCCACAAGCUCUGGUGCUCAUGGUGAACUUCUGUCACCCUGAUCUCUGCUGGAGAAACAACUCAUGGGCAGACAGGAGCCCGGAGGCUCCUGCAGAGCACUGAUGGUAAUGUUUUGACACAGCUGGUGGAGGAGCCAUGGAGGAGAGGUGUGCUGCUGGAGAGGUGUACUGACAAACAAGGAAGGACUGGCUGGGGAAUCACAGAAUCAUAAAAUCAUAGAAUUGCUAAGGUUGGCAAGUUCACCACAUCCAGCCGUUAACCAUGUGAAUGUUGGGGUCAGCCUUGGCCACAGUGCCACGGACUACAGGAUCCAGCAUGGAGGAAGCCAGGCAAUAAAUAGGAUCACGACCCUUGACUUCAGGAGAGAUACCUUUGGCCUCCUCAAGGAUUUACCUGGAGGAGUCCCAUGGGGUAGGGAUCUAGAAGGUAAGGAUGUCCAAGAGAGCUGGUUAAUGCUCAAAUGUCACUUCCUCCAACCUCAACACUGGUGCAUCCCUAUGAAUAAGAAAUCACACAAAGCAGAGCAGGAGACCUGCAUGGAUGAGCAAAGAGCUUCUGGCAAAACCCAAAAGGAAGAAAAAAGUUUAUAAAAUGCCAAAAAAGGGACAGGCUGUUUGUGAGGAAUAUAAGAAUGUUGUCAGAGUAUGCAGAGAUGUGAUGAGGAACUCUCAGAUCCACUUGCAAUUGGGAAAAGGGAUGUCAAGGACAACAAGAAAGGUAUUCCACCCCAUUUUCUACCCCAGGUAUUACACUUGUUUUCAAAUUACACAGUGAGCCUGUAAGAUGGAAUGGGUUAUUUUUUAUCACAGCAGAAAAAGACUAACUGGGUGCACUUACAGUACAAUAAUGAAGGCUGCGUAUUAUCAUCCUGCUAACUCUAUUUUCUGCUUUAACCAAAUAAAAACCAGUAACAAACAUGAUACAAAAGUAUUUUGUAGCUGAAUAUCUAUCUUAUAACAUUCUGCCAAUUUUUUUCCCACUUCAAUUAACUUAAUAUAAAAGUACUUUUGGAAAAUAUUUGAUGUAAAUAUUAUUCUGUAUCUCCUUUUUGAAUUACUGUGAAUACAUUUCAUGUCUGAAAUGCCUACUUGUGAGGCUUUUUAUAUUAUAAGGUAGCACCAUACUUGCUAAUGAAGCAGCUGGUACACUGUUCUGUUAAAAAACAAGCACCAUGAAAGCACUGACCUGCUUUCCUGUGGCUUCUCAUUUUAGUACACAUAAUUUGGUAAAGCACUUAUUGUCAUUUAGCUCAGGUUGGAAUGGACCUUGAAAAGUCAUUCCUUGUUUAGCACCCUGACCACUUGACUUUAAAACCUCCAUGAUGGGGACUCUACUAAGGGCCUGGGACAUUGAUUGUUUUCACUGUAAAAAAUUCCUCUCUUAUAUCAAAAUGAAACCUCUCUGAGUACAGCUUGUGCCCUAUGCUUGUUGUCCUCUCCGUGUGUGUCCUUGUGAAGAGAGAGCAUUCAUGCUUUUUGUGGCUGCCUUUUGGGAGCUGCAAAACUAUGAUGAGAUUCCCUUGAGCUUCCUCUUCUCCAGGGUGAAAAGAGCAAACUCCUCAAGUCUUUCCCCAGAGAACAGGUUCUCCAGCUCUCUGAUCACCUUUGUGGCCCUCCUUUGAGCCCUCUCCAAUGUGUGUAUGUCUUUUUUUGAAUGGUUGCAUACCAGGACUGGGCACAGAACUGCAGGUGUGGCCUUUCAAUUGCAGACUAGACUGGGAUGAUCACAGCUCUGUCUCUGCUAGUUAUGAUCCAUGGAUGCAGCCCAGGAUCCAAUCUGCCUUCCUUGCUGCAGCAGCACACUCUGGACUCAUCCACCAGGAUUUCCAGGUCCCUUUCACCAAGGUUCCUCCUCAGACAAAUGGAUUCUAGCCUGUCCUGGGAACUUUGGUUAUGCCAUCCCAGGGGAACAGCCUUGCACUUUUAUUUGUUAAACUGCAUACUGUUCUUUCUAUCCCACUCUUCCAGCCUGUCCAGCUCUCCCUGUAAGACAUCCCUUCUGACAUGUUCAAUGCACCACCCAGCUUGGUGCCACCACCAGAUUUGGUGAUGGUUUUGGGAUUUUCAAUCCCAUCAUCCAGACCAGUGAGGAGGAUGUUAAAGAGCAUGCAGCCCUAUAGGGUUUGGGUAGGAAGAAAUUCCUCCUGAGGUCUUGCAGGAGCAGAAACUCCCUUGUGUUUGGUAGGCGUGGGCUUCCACUGAAGCUGAUCAAAGGAGGAGGAAGUCAUCCAUGAGAGAGGAAUUAAAUGGAAAACUAAGCCAAGAACCAGCCUCCUUCAGGUAAGCAUCAGAAUUCGGAGUUUGGUAAAGGAGCCUCUGCAGCUAUAAAUCCUGAAUCAGCCCUUUGAGCCAGAGGUUCCCACUUGGACUCAGAGGGAGCCAGAGAAGCUGAGCUCUAACACUAGCAGGAACUGAGUGCCAAGCUCAGCCCUCACAGAGCUGAGAUAUUUAAAGCUGUGUUUGCUCCUGAGAGAGGCAGUGCCUCUGACCCAUCCUUAGACAGGGAGGGGGCAAGAGCUCACCAUGAGCAUUUACUUCAAUAUGAUUUGCUUUAUUUUUAAAAUAUUUUUCCUUGAUUUUGAGCCUUCAGAAGACUCUUUCUGCUAAGUUAUAAUAGGUCUCUCUAUUCAGGGUGGAAACACUGAUCUUGAAAAUUUGAAAUUUGUUCCAAUGCAGAAAAGACAGCAAUGUAAGCUACUGGUGUCAUUGCAUUCUAGUGAUCACCUGGUAAAUAUUGAAUAGGAUUCAAAAUAGGCAUCUUGAAACUUCUGCAACCAAUCUUUUCUAGUUAAUGCCUCCAAUAAAGCAUUAACUUUCUCUAAUGUCAUUGUUUCACUGAAUUACUCAUAUAUGGGAGACAUUUUUUUCUGGUUAUUUAUCACCCAAGCCUAGAAUCCAUUACAAUUGCUCAUAUAAUAUUAGAGGUUUUGUGUACAUACUUGAGAAAGGUCUUAAACAAUAUAUUUACACUUGAUGUUGCCUGGGAAGUAGGAAAAAAACUCACUCAUUUUUUGUGGAGAUGGACAUCACUGUGACUGGAGAGGUUACUAAUAUUUAAUAUUAAUUGGUGAGUUGGUGAAAACAACCCUAUUAGACCACUUCAACACAGAAAUAGCAGACAUGCUUUUUCCUGCUUCAUUCAUUAUCUCUCAGUAAUCUCAGCUGUGAAGGGAGUCAACUGCAGACUCCAGACCCUUUGAAAAUAUAAUGCAAAAUCCACUUUUAUUCAGUGUUUUACCUACUAUACAAGAUACCCAUUCUGUGUGGCUUAUUUUUUUGCUAAUUAAAAUUUAAAUGGUCCAUCCUACCUCAUCAACUGUAUAAAAGAGACAUUUUUAUCAUUAAAGACAUGGUAGAAUCCUUAGGAUUUACUGUUUGUUCUCAAAAUUAAAUCUCCAGUGACAAAAAUGCAAUAUUUUUAUUUCCCAAGUCCAAUGUUUCAAUACUGUCAUUUAUUUAAUCCAUAUUAUAAUUUCCUUAAAAAUUCAAAGCCUUUUGCUCUAGCUGCAAACAGUAUUCUUCCCUGUUUUUCUUUUGAUUAUUUUUGAAAUAUUUUUGUGCAGUCACAAGCACAUCUAUAAAAUUACACUCAUCUUGCUGUGUGAGACAGCCAAUCCUGUCUGUCAUGUAUCACUUGAGAGACAUCAGAGACAGUUUUGUUAUCAAUGCUCAUUGUUCCAUUGACUUGAGUGAAUUUAGAUGAGCUUCAUUGUGAGUUUAUCUGAUGAUGGACCUCUGGUGAGGAUUAGGCAUAACCUAACAGCUACUGCAGAUUGCAUUUAGCCUUUACAAUUAAGCAGACAAUAAAUAAAUCAAUGGAGGAAUUAGUAGGGUGAAUGGCCUUCUCAAUGAAAACAAGCUGUGCAGUCACUCAGAUGGCCAUUAGUCAAGCUGAGCUGGGAAAGGCAGGCUUCAGACUAAUCAGACUAAUGCUCUUUUUUUUUUUCUCUGAGCAGUGAGAUUUAAAAUUUCUAUGGAAUAAAGAAAGACUAAUAGCAUUCUUCAGAAAGAAAAUUGUGGGAAUGAGAACAUCAAUUGUAGGAAUGACUGAUAAAAUUAUUUAAUUGACACUAACAUAAAGAUAGAUUUAGACAAAAAAGUAUGAUGGGCAAGUGAUGGAUUAAGCCUUUCAGUAUACAAGAAGGCUUUCUUUUGCAUCUGACUCUAGUGGAGAUGAAGAGAUCGUUUCACUCUAAUUUGACAGGAAGGUGCAGGUACUGUGGAUGAAAAAUCGGAAUAAAACCAGCAGGUUAAAAAACAUUUCAAAUACCUUUUACAGGAACAUCAAAAAUAAAAUUAGUCAAAGCUCACAGAAUUAACACAUUUUUGUAACAUUUCUUGAAUCCAAAAUUGGACAUCUCUUGAUAUGACUUCUGGGUUAUUUUUUCAAAUAACAAAACAAAAAGAAAAAAUUUUGUGCACAAAGAAGCUUUAUGUUUCAAAAAUUACUUAGUGGAAGUUAACAGCUGAAAGCUAAGGAAUUUCAGUCAAAAGUGCAAUUUUGAUAAGGUAAAGGACAACAUCAGUUUGCAAAAAUUAUAUUGCUAUUUUCCAUAUCUGUCUAAUCUGAAUUGUGAGGAUCAUGCAAUAGGUGAGAGAACACCUUCAGCAAAUGAUAAAAAAUAUAAAAUAAAAUCUGCAAAGCUGAUGUAUGUACAUGUAUGUACAUCAGCAUUUAAGAAUUGCAUAAAAUAAACUUUAUCCCAACAGUUUUUGCUCAGAGAUCCAAAGACAAGGCUAGACCAUUACAGCCCUACUGCAUCCAACAAAAAAGGGUAGCAAAUAGAAAUACAAGACACAGAUGCUACUUCUAGCUUGGAUUGUGAGCAUUAUUCUACAUUAAAGUAAAAAAAAAGCUUGCUUUUAAACCAGUGAAUGAUAAAUGUGUUGUUCAAAAGUUUGCAGAUACUCUAGCACUUUCUGGAAAAGGAGCUGUAAGUGGAACUUAUUCUGUGCAACAUCUCUGGUGUUUUCUCAUUGAAAGAGAAAUUAACUUGAGGGACAUGCAGUGAAUAAACUAAUUUGUUGUAAAGUACAAUUU
Passer domesticus (house sparrow) is the source of this 5350-nucleotide long non-coding RNA. RefSeq lists it as uncharacterized. The transcript is spliced from 3 exons. NCBI's taxonomy places the organism in Eukaryota, Metazoa, Chordata, Aves, Passeriformes, Passeridae. The record is from RefSeq and is a predicted model, not a curated record.